CGCGGCCUAUCAGCUUGUUGGUGAGGUAAAGGCUCACCAAGGCAUUGACGGGUAGCUGGUCUGAGAGGACGAUCAGCCACACUGGGACUGAGACACGGCCCAGACUCCUGCGGGAGGCAGCAGUGGGGAAUCUUGCGCAAUGGGCGAAAGCCUGACGCAGCAACGCCGCGUGGGGGAUGAAGGCUCUCGGGUUGUAAACCCCUUUCAGCAGGGACGAAAUUGACGGUACCUGUAGAAGAAGCCCCGGCCAACUACGUGCCAGCAGCCGCGGUAACACGUAGGGGGCGAGCGUUGUCCGGAAUUAUUGGGCGUAAAGGGCUCGUAGGCGGUUCGGUAAGUCAGAUGUGAAAGGUUGGGGCUCAACCCUAAGACUGCAUUUGAUACUGCCGUGACUAGAGUCCGGUAGAGGAGUGUGGAAUUCCUGGUGUAGCGGUGAAAUGCACAGAUAUCAGGAGGAACACCGACGGCGAAGGCAGCACUCUGGGCCGGUACUGACGCUGAGGAGCGAAAGCGUGGGUAGCAAACAGGAUUAGAUACCCUGGUAGUCCACGCCGUAAACGUUGGGCACUAGGUGUGGGACCUUAUCAACGGGUUCCGUGCCGUAGCUAACGCAUUAAGUGCCCCGCCUGGGGAGUACGG
This 639-nucleotide ribosomal RNA is filed under the name uncultured bacterium. Its description in RNAcentral is "bacterial SSU rRNA". It matches the Rfam family "Bacterial small subunit ribosomal RNA", at positions 232 to 885 of the family's 1533-position model. The record is from RNAcentral.